GAGACAGAGACUGGGGGGGGGGGGGUCUGAGGAGAAGAGGGAGAACCAAAAUGGAGGCUGACGUGGUGUUAUCAAAGUGGAGUGACCAGGGCUGACAGGUAUUCUGACAUCUGCUCCCUGAGAGGUGCAGUGGGAAGUCCUGCACUGUGAGUCCAUUGAGUAGGACACACCCAGGCCUCUUCUUUUCUCCAGGAUAUGUGCAAGAUGAGAGCUAGCCAUCAGUCUCCUGAUGGUGGAGAUUUGAUCUGAAGCAUUCAAAUAGGAAAUGAAUGCUCAGAGGAAGCUUCAAAUUUCUUUCUACUUGAAGAAGCUGAAUUGCAGAAGCUAUCUCUGUCCUGUUAAUCACCGGGUCCACAGUGAAACCAGCCAACUUCAGAGAGUGAGUUAAAAGAGAGACUCUUGUGCUGCGCGACCCCUGACUGUAACCAAGCGUCAUUCUCUCUGAGACGUUCCCUCAGAGCUUGUUCUGACAGCCCUCACCUCCAGUGACGAGGUCCACUAACUUUUCCACACGAGGGGUUCUCUGCUUCCCUCCAUCUGAGCUGCGCAAUUCCACCAGGCCUUUUGCUCCUCUUCAGUCGGGUGCUUUGGAGGUAAUGAAGUCUUUCGGGGGGGAAAAUAAACAAAGGAAAUGCACCCAGUUGAUGUC
RNAcentral lists this long non-coding RNA (649 nucleotides) under Mus caroli (Ryukyu mouse). RNAcentral describes it as "lncRNA (MGP_CAROLIEiJ_G0005617.1)". The record is from RNAcentral. Lineage: Eukaryota; Metazoa; Chordata; Mammalia; Rodentia; Muridae.